Molecule: ribosomal RNA, 301 nt
Filed under: uncultured bacterium
Lineage: Bacteria
Description: partial 16S ribosomal RNA
Rfam family: Bacterial small subunit ribosomal RNA
Source: RNAcentral
CAGCAGCCGCGGUAAUACAGAGGGUGCGAGCGUUAAUCGGAUUUACUGGGCGUAAAGCGUGCGUAGGCGGCUAAUUGAGUCGGAUGUGAAAUCCCCGAGCUUAACUUGGGAAUUGCAUUCGAUACUGGUUAGCUAGAGUGUGGGAGAGGAUGGUAGAAUUCCAGGUGUAGCGGUGAAAUGCGUAGAGAUCUGGAGGAAUACCGAUGGCGAAGGCAGCCAUCUGGCCUAACACUGACGCUGAGGUACGAAAGCAUGGGGAGCAAACAGGAUUAGAUACCCGCGUAGUCCCUGUCUCUUAUAA